Molecule: long non-coding RNA, 858 nt
Filed under: Homo sapiens (human)
Lineage: Eukaryota; Metazoa; Chordata; Mammalia; Primates; Hominidae
Description: non-protein coding lnc-MFAP1-1:1
Source: RNAcentral
UCUGACUGUCCAGUGCUCAGUGGCUCUGGGGCUGUGUACCGAGUAUGUGCAGGAACCGCCACCUUCCACCUGCUGCAGGCUGUGUUGCUGGUCCACCUCCACUCCCCCACCAGCCCGCGGGCACAGCUGCAUAAUAGCAUGGCAUUACAUUGGCAUCUGUGGAGGCUUUGCAUUCAUCCUACUGCAGUUGGUGCUUAUUACAGCUUUUGCCCAUUCCUGGAACAAGAACUGGCAGACAGGUGCAGCUCAAGACUGUAGCUGGUUCCUGGCUGUCCUGCUGGCCACCCUAGGAUUCUACAGCAUGGCAGGUGUGGGAGCUGUGCUCCUAUUCCACUAUUAUACACACCCAGCUGGCUGCCUGCUUAACAAGAUGCUCCUCAGUCUGCACCUUUGCUUCUGUGGCCUCAUCUCCUUCCUCUCCAUCGCUCCUUGCAUCCGCCUCAGUGGGUACAUGUCCUACAGCAUUCCAGGUUUUGGGGGCCUUAAAAGCAUAGCAAGUUUCAUUACCUCCCUAAUCUCAAUUAUUUGAUAAAAGAAUCUCUGCUUCCCUAUCCCCACCAAAGGAUGGGGAGACAGAAGUACAAGUGGGGGUAGAAAUGGAGGAAAUUACCAGCCUGUAGACUAAAGCAAUUAUACUUACUCCCCAGAGCAACCCCGCUCUGGCCUCCUACAAGCUUCUGUCAUCAGCUGCUAUAUCAUGUAUCUGACUUUCUCUGCACUGUCCAGCCGUCCUCCAGAGAGAGGUAAGGGACAGGACCUGGAUUCUCCAUGCUAAGACCUUUUUUUGCCCCUGCCAAAUACCUAGCUCAUUGUUAAUACCCAUCUCUUCUGUUGUCCCUUCCCAGUAAUCCUUCAAGG